AAGGAGCGCACAGUCUAUUGAG
RNAcentral lists this microRNA (22 nucleotides) under Echinops telfairi (small Madagascar hedgehog). RNAcentral describes it as "Ete-Mir-28_5p* (star (passenger))". Lineage: Eukaryota; Metazoa; Chordata; Mammalia; Afrosoricida; Tenrecidae. The record is from RNAcentral.